UGUUUUUGAAAUGCGGGCUUUUAUUUUGAACGUUUCAUCAUUACCAUAGGAAAGUGACGUCGUUGUUAGUGUUGCUAGCAGAGUGGUAGUGCAGCUUCCUUACAUAGGGUCUUCAUAAAAAAAUAACCAUGGCGGCCACUGAAAUAGCUAGGCAAGCGGGAGAAGGUGCUCGUGCCGUCCCUCUAGCCGGCCAUGUCGGCUUUGAUAGCAUGCCCGACCAGCUGGUCAACAAGUCUGUCAACCACGGCUUCUGCUUCAACAUCCUCUGUGUCGGGGAAACGGGCCUGGGCAAGUCCACUCUUAUGGACACCCUGUUCAACACCAAGUUCGAGGGCGAGCCCACCCAGCACAAUCAGCCGGGCGUGCAGCUCAAGUCCAACACAUACGAGCUCCAAGAGAGCAACGUGCGCCUCAAGCUGACCGUGGUCAACACUGUGGGCUUUGGAGACCAGAUCAACAAAGAGGACAGCUACAAGUCCAUUGUUGAGUUUAUCGACACCCAGUUCGAGGCCUAUCUGCAGGAGGAGCUGAAAAUCAAGCGCACGCUACACAGCUACCACGACACGCGCAUCCAUGCCUGCCUGUACUUCAUUGCGCCCACCGGACACUCCCUCAAGUCCCUGGACCUGGUAACUAUGAAGAAACUGGACAGCAAGGUCAACAUCAUCCCCAUCAUUGCCAAAUCAGACGCCAUCUCCAAGAGCGAGCUGACCAAGUUCAAGAUCAAGAUCACCAGUGAGCUGGUCAGCAACGGCGUUCAGAUCUACCAGUUCCCCACCGAUGACGAGACGGUGGCAGAGAUCAACUCCACCAUGAACGGCCAUUUGCCGUUCGCCGUUGUGGGAAGCACGGAGGAAGUAAAGAUCGGCAACAAGAUGGUGAAAGCGCGGCAGUACCCCUGGGGAACGGUGCAGGUGGAGAAUGAGAACCACUGUGACUUUGUGAAGCUGCGGGAGAUGCUGAUCCGGGUAAACAUGGAGGACCUGCGGGAGCAGACACACACGCGCCACUAUGAGCUCUACCGCCGCUGCAAGCUGGAGGAGAUGGGAUUCAAGGACACGGACCCCGACUGCAAACCCUUCAGUCUGCAGGAGACGUACGAGGCCAAGAGGAACGAGUUCAUGGGUGACCUGCAGAAGAAGGAGGAGGAGAUGAGGCAGAUGUUCGUCCAGAGAGUCAAGGAGAAGGAAGCCGAACUGAAGGAGGCCGAGAAAGAGCUGCACGAGAAGUUUGACCGGCUCAAGAAGCUGCACCAGGAUGAGAAGAAGAAGCUGGAGGACAAGAAGAAAUCCCUGGAUGACGAGCUCAACGGCUUCAAACAGAAAAAGACGGCCGCCGAGCUCCUACAGUCCCAGGCCCAGCAGGCAGGGGGCUCCACCACACUCAAGAGGGACAAGGAGAGGAAAAAUAUCAGGCUGCAGUAGGAGGGCCGUGUUGACAGUUAGAGGUUGUUGUCGUGGGUCCCUUCAUGUUGGUAAUCGCUCCUGGUUGUCUAUUCAAACUGAUGCGAGCCCUGCCACCUGCCCUGUUAGAAAGGAUGAAGACACUUGCACUGAGAAAGUUAACUCCUCCCCCCACUUGCUGCAUGCUGCAUGAAACAUCUUGUCCUGCUUCUUUUAAUCUGUCUUGGCCACCUGUCUGAAGAGGGGAUUGCAGCUUCAACAAGAACUAAGCACCCAUUUCCUCUUCCUGUCUUUUCUCACUGCAUCAACCUUUUUUUUAACUUCCAUCUCAUCUGCUUUGUUGAACAUGGCCGUAUGUGGACUUCACAUGGUAUUUUUUGGAUAGUUUACCUUUUGCCACCUAAUCAAGGUACACUUUGGCAAGUGGGAGUCCUUCACUGAUAAUAUUUUUCAGAUCUGUCUUGGUGUAUGAAUGAACAAAGCUUUGUUCAGGUGCUCAGGUAGGAUUCUAAACAGUUGUUCAAGAGAAAAACAUCAAACCAAUAGUUUCAUCAUACCAUUUGUGGCAGAGCCAAGGCUCUGGAUUAAUUUAUAUUUUGCAUAAAACGAUCAGAACUUAAUUGACAGUACAUUUUAAGAAAGUCUUUAUGUAAUAACAUUCAAUCAGUCCAUUUUGAGAAGGACUCUGUUUUGAAAUAACCAUUACAAAUAGCCUAUUAUAAAUGUGCUCAUCAUUCAAAGGGGGGGGGGGGGGUUAUGAUUUUUAUUUAUUUAACUAGGCAAGUCAGCUAAGAACAAAUUCUUAUUUACAAUGACGGCCUACCCCGGCCAUAGCCUAACCCGUACGACGCUGGGCCAAUUGUGCGCCGCCCUAUGGGACUCCCAAUCACGGCCAAUUGUGAUACAGCCUGGAAUUGAACCAGGGUCUGUAGUGACACCUCUAGCACUGAGAUGCAGGGCCUUAGACUGCUGCACCACCCGGGAGCCCCUAUGAACACAAAUAGCACAACCCAGAUCUCAAUAAAGCACUGAUAAACCCGCCAUAUUUAUUUGGUGAUUGAUAGUGCGACGUCUUACCUUGCGUGUGAGUAGUAGGAACUUUUGUCAAUACGGAUUUAAAAACCAUAGGACAAUUGCGAUCCAAAUAAAUACAUAAUUCUUUGUUCACUGCAUAGGUUGUUUCAUUGGAACUCAGAAGAGCCAAAGACAUGUUCAUGUCAAGCACUUAUUUAGUGAAAACACCUUUUCCGUACUGAAAUGCCAUGUAGGUUGCAUUUAAUGCCCUUUACGCAUUGUGCUUGAACUACCAUCAGUCUAUUCUGUAUUUUGCAUGUCUUUUUUCUUUUUCUUUCAUCACCUCUGUGAUCUUGACCUUUUGCUCCCCAUUGUAGUUUUCUCCCCUAACAGUUUUGCACUCUUUCACAUUUGAUGCUCUAUUGUUUGGACCAGUUUUAUCUUGUGUAUUACUAGUUGUUAUGUGCAGUUAUACCCCUCUCCACAAUUUCCGGCACCCAUAUUGCCAAAUAUUACAAUGAGAUGGAGUUGAAUCCUAGAUACAGAUAGAUACUCAUGCAUUUGUAUAAUUUAUAAGGAUAUAUUUUGUGUAUGGAAGUGGAGACCUGUUUUAUGAAAUAUGAUCUUUGGACGUGACUCUUCUCUCUGUGUAAAGUUACAUUUUGUUGUAAGAAAUUGCCAUACAUUUUUAUAGCAUCUGCCAUAAUCACCCCUCCUAGUCAAUUACCUGUCCACACCACAAAUGAAUUAUAAAAUGUGAUUGUAGUUUGAUUCCAUUUAUGUAAAUUUUCAAUAAAAUGAUGAUGAAAAAGUG
Molecule: non-coding RNA, 3231 nt
Organism: Oncorhynchus mykiss (rainbow trout)
Lineage: Eukaryota; Metazoa; Chordata; Actinopteri; Salmoniformes; Salmonidae
Source: RefSeq, a predicted model, not a curated record